Molecule: transfer RNA, 72 nt
Filed under: Stegodyphus mimosarum
Lineage: Eukaryota; Metazoa; Arthropoda; Arachnida; Araneae; Eresidae
Rfam family: tRNA
About the family: Transfer RNA (tRNA) molecules are approximately 80 nucleotides in length. Their secondary structure includes four short double-helical elements and three loops (D, anti-codon, and T loops).
Source: Rfam by way of RNAcentral
GCCUUCGUGGUGUAAUGGUCAGCACACUGCGCCGUAUUUCAGAGGUCCGUGGUUCGAUUCCCGGCGAAGGAA